UGCCUAACAUUGGGCCUGUUGGUUCUGUAU
RNAcentral lists this non-coding RNA (30 nucleotides) under Mus musculus (house mouse). Lineage: Eukaryota; Metazoa; Chordata; Mammalia; Rodentia; Muridae. The record is from RNAcentral.